UACGUAGGUGGCAAGCGUUAUCCGGAAUUAUUGGGCGUAAAGAGCGCGCAGGUGGUUGAUUAAGUCUGAUGUGAAAGCCAACGGCUUAACCGUGGAGGGUCAUUGGAAACUGGUCGACUUGAGUGCAGAAGAGGGAAGCGGAAUUCCAUGUGUAGCGGUGAAAUGCGUAGAGAUAUGGAGGAACACCAGUGGCGAAGGCGGCUUCCUGGUCUGUAACUGACACUGAGGCGCGAAAGCGUGGGGAGCAAACAGGAUUAGAUACCCCCGUA
This 269-nucleotide ribosomal RNA is filed under the name uncultured prokaryote. Its description in RNAcentral is "partial 16S ribosomal RNA". It matches the Rfam family "Bacterial small subunit ribosomal RNA", at positions 524 to 792 of the family's 1533-position model. The record is from RNAcentral.